UAAAACCGGGGAGGAACAGAGAAGAGCCUUAGCUGACUCAAACGCCUGUUGACACUCUGCAGACCACGUAAACUGUACCUUCGGGCUCAGUAAUGAGGGGUGCAUUCUGAUGGGCGACGCAUUUCCUACGUCAAUGUCAUGCUCCAACACUGUUGUGCGGCCGGGAACGUCCUGAAAGAGACUGGGAAACGAAUGAAUAAGGUGAAUGAGUUCUUCUUGUUUCUUGUUGUCUAAAUGCACCAUUAUAGACGGCAACACUUUCUUCAUUUCUGAAUUGUUUAACCUUUCACUGAUCCUUAUACCAGACUGUUCUUUUAAACCGUCCUCCAUGUCAUCCUCAGGACAGACCUCUGCAACCAGCAUCCCAGCUACCGGACCUGGAGCACCACAUGGGCUGGACUUUGUUGGGCUAACAGUGUAUGGACCACAAUAAUGAGCUGAUAAAGACGAACCUGGCACCGGUAACAACACUAGUACCUGAUCUCCAGGGACAAACACACGUUUCACAGCCUUUUUGUCAUACCUUAUUUUCAUCCGUUUCUGGGUGCUGGAAAGAGACUCCUUAGCUAGUUCACAUGCUUUAUGCAACCUUUCACGGGUCUUG
Long non-coding RNA from Esox lucius (northern pike), 604 nucleotides. RefSeq lists it as uncharacterized. Lineage: Eukaryota; Metazoa; Chordata; Actinopteri; Esociformes; Esocidae. The record is from RefSeq and is a predicted model, not a curated record. The transcript is spliced from 3 exons.